This 719-nucleotide ribosomal RNA is filed under the name uncultured bacterium. RNAcentral's name for it is "bacterial SSU rRNA". It matches the Rfam family "Bacterial small subunit ribosomal RNA", at positions 524 to 1230 of the family's 1533-position model. The record is from RNAcentral.
CNGGGGAAGAGCAUGCGUUGUCCNGGAUUUACUAGCGCAUAAAGGGCUCGUAGGUGGCUAAUUAAGUUAUAUGUUAAAUACCACAGCUCAACUGUGGACCGGCAUAUAAUACUGAUUAGAUAGAGUACUGUAGAGGAAGGCGGAAUUCUUGGAGUAGCGGUGGAAUGCGCAGAUAUCAAGAAGAACACCAAAAGCGAAGGCAGCCUUCUAGGCAGAUACUGACACUCAGGAGCGAAGGUGUGGGUAGCGAACAGGAUUAGAUACCCUGGUAGUCCACACAGUCAACGAUGAUCACUAAGUUUUGGUGAGAUUAUAAAUUAUCAGAGCUGCAGCAAAUGCAUUAAGUGAUCCGCCUGGGGAGUACGUCCGCAAGGAUGAAACUCAAAGGAAUUGACGGGGACCCGCACAAGCGGUGGAGUAUGUUCUUUAAUUCGAUGCAACGCGAAGAACCUUACCUGGACUUGACAUCCGCGAAAUCACCUUUAUCCGGUGAGCGCCUCGAUUUAUCGAGGAAUCGCGUGACAGGUGCUGCAUGGCUGUCGUCAGUUCGUGUCGUGAGAUGUUGGGUUAAGUCCCGCAACGAACGCAACCCCUGNUCUUUAGUUACCAGCAUUAAGUUGGGGACUCUAGAGAGACUGCCANGGUGACAACUUGGAGGAAGGUGGGGACNACGUCAAGUCAUCAUGGUCCUUACGUCNAGGGCUAAAAACGUACUACAA